CCUGCUUCGGCAGGAUCCCAACCCCAAGAAAACAGCGGAGCCCGUCACGGAACAAGGGAGCCUUCCUGACGCUAGUGGGCUGGGCCAGGGGCCUGAAGCCGUGCAACGGAAGACACCUGUGUGCACCUGCCACACGCGACAAACCCAUGGGCACUGUCUGCUUGCUCCUGCCCGAGUAGACCGCCAGCACCUCGAGAGUGGGGCCCACGUCAGUCACGUGGGCAGAAGCGCACGUCAUCAGGCAUCCUCUGCUCGUCCCAGCACAGCACUGCCGAGGCUUCCUGCCUGCCCACUGUCACACGCUCGGGCAAGGCUCACAGAAAGUCCAC
Tupaia belangeri chinensis (Chinese tree shrew) is the source of this 329-nucleotide long non-coding RNA. RefSeq lists it as uncharacterized. The transcript has 3 exons. Lineage: Eukaryota; Metazoa; Chordata; Mammalia; Scandentia; Tupaiidae. The record is from RefSeq and is a predicted model, not a curated record.